RNAcentral lists this ribosomal RNA (492 nucleotides) under uncultured bacterium. RNAcentral describes it as "partial 16S ribosomal RNA". It matches the Rfam family "Bacterial small subunit ribosomal RNA", at positions 29 to 507 of the family's 1533-position model. The record is from RNAcentral.
AGUGAACGCUGGCGGUAGGCCUAACACAUGCAAGUCGAACGGCAGCACAGUAAGAGCUUGCUCUUACGGGUGGCGAGUGGCGGACGGGUGAGGAAUACAUCGGAAUCUACUUUUUCGUGGGGGAUAACGUAGGGAAACUUACGCUAAUACCGCAUACGACCUACGGGUGAAAGCAGGGGAUCUUCGGACCUUGCGCGAUUGAAUGAGCCGAUGUCGGAUUAGCUAGUUGGCGGGGUAAAGGCCCACCAAGGCGACGAUCCGUAGCUGGUCUGAGAGGAUGGUCAGCCACACUGGAACUGAGACACGGUCCAGACUCCUACGGGAGGCAGCAGUGGGGAAUAUUGGACAAUGGGCGCAAGCCUGGUCCAGCCAUACCGCGUGGGUGAAGAAGGCCUUCGGGUUGUAAAGCCCUUUUGUUGGGAAAGAAAAGCGGCAGGUUAAUACCCCGCUGUUCUGACGGUACCCAAAGAAUAAGCACCGGCUAACUUCGUG